GUGAUUGUUCAAUAUCCACAUUAACAUUUUCAUCAAAUUAUUUUUCUUUUUACUUGAUAUUUUAUACGAAAUAUAGGAUCAAGGGAGGUGUUGCGAGGCGAUGAGAGGGGAUGAGAAUUGAGAAAUUACGAGAGAAAUCGAGAUGACGAGAGCUAAAAAGCUCUUGCUAGGAGCCGUUGGAGAGUCGGGACUCCGGAGAGGAAGAAUGACGUUUGGUUUACCCAA
This 225-nucleotide long non-coding RNA is filed under the name Elaeis guineensis (African oil palm). RNAcentral describes it as "long non-coding RNA (EGUI_LNC026552)". The record is from RNAcentral. Lineage: Eukaryota; Viridiplantae; Streptophyta; Magnoliopsida; Arecales; Arecaceae.